UGCCACAAACGUGUAAAGGGCUUCUCAUCUUUUUCCCAAAUUUUAUUUAAUCCAAUUAGAUGGAAAUGAGAAAUACCUAGCGUAGGUCUGUUGUACCUACAACGUUUAAAGGGCGUAUGCGCUUUAUGACGUAUGACGUAAAUUGUUACAUUGCUGCUGGGCUUCAUAAUUUUGUAAGCAAAUUCAAUCAAGUAACAAGCAUUGGAACUUCAUAUCAUACGUUUAAUAAUCUUUAUGAUAAUGACAACAUCAUUGCUGCAAUUCUUCACCCUUUAUUUAAAACUGACUGGCCUUGGAUUAGGCAAGAAAGGAAUAAAGCAAAAAAGGAGGAAAUUUUAAAUUUAAUAAAUACCUUAAUACCUCAAAGUGAAUCCCAGACGAAUGAAUCAUGCUCAAAACAACAUCACUUGAUGUAGUUGGAUUUUUGACCUAAAGCGCCAAAAUAUUCUGGAUAAUGAACUUAUAGAAAACUUUAUCAAAUCUAAUAACAACACUUUUUCUUUAUAUAACGAUUUUCCAAAAUUAAAAUUACUCUUUAUUAAAUAUAAUGUUGUUCUAACAUCAAGUGCUCCCUUAGAGUGCUUGUUCAGUCUAGGUAAGCUCAUUUUUGGAGAUAAACGAGCACGUCUCCUAGAUAAUAACUUUAAAAUUAAUUUGUUGUUAAAAGCAAAUAAACAUUUAUUAGAUUCUAAUUUUUAUGAAAAAUAAAUGUUUUUUUUUCAAUGCAAAUAUAUAUUUUUAUAUUCGAUGUAAAUAUUUAAUUUUGCGAUAUUUUUUUAUAUAAAUAAAU
Long non-coding RNA from Gordionus sp. m RMFG-2023, 790 nucleotides. RefSeq lists it as uncharacterized. The transcript is spliced from 3 exons. The record is from RefSeq and is a predicted model, not a curated record. NCBI's taxonomy places the organism in Eukaryota, Metazoa, Nematomorpha, Gordioida, Chordodea, Parachordodidae.